GACGAACGCUGGCGGCGUGCUUAACACAUGCAAGUCGAACGGGAGUAUAUGAGGAGCUUGCUUUGAGUAUACUUUAGUGGCGGACGGGUGAGUAACGCGUGAGGAGCUGUCUUUAACAGGGGGGACAACAGGUGGAAACGUCUGCUAAUACCCCAUAAGCCUAAGGGUAAAAGGAGCAAUCCGGUUAAGGAGGUACUCGCGUCCUAUCAGCUAGUAGGUGAGGUAACGGCUCACCUAGGCGAAGACGGGUAGCCGGCCUGAGAGGGCGAACGGCCACACUGGAACUGAGACACGGUCCAGACUCCUACGGGAGGCAG
This 317-nucleotide ribosomal RNA is filed under the name uncultured Synergistota bacterium. RNAcentral's name for it is "bacterial SSU rRNA". It matches the Rfam family "Bacterial small subunit ribosomal RNA", at positions 28 to 351 of the family's 1533-position model. Lineage: Bacteria; Thermotogati; Synergistota. The record is from RNAcentral.